CAUGAACUCGCUGCUGAAAACACUUCGCAAUGUUGUGGAGCUCGGCGAGGAGGAGUCGCCAGGAGCGUUCGCGCCAUCGCAGCGCGACAGCGUAGACGAGCAAUCUAAUCCAGAGGUGCUGAGACACAUAUUUCCACCCUCACCCAGAAACUGGCCCGCCAGGUAAAGUCCUACGAGAGCUGAGGGGGGAAAGCAUCUCCAUGGAAAAGGAACUCACGCGUGUGCGCCUCCGCUUCGCCGCCGCGCGGAAGCUGUGGGAGUCCACCAACAAUAGUCUCGAGCUUUCCAUUCAGAACUUAGUCGAGCACCGGCUCUUCGGCGCCGCUUCUGCCGCCCCCGCUAGGCCUAGCACGGCGUUUGGCAGCAGCUCCGACAAGGUUUCGCCCAACCCUGCGGACACCCCCUUGCUUGAUGCCAUCUACGUUGCCUCUCUGCGUGAGCAGAUUCAGCGACUGAAGGAAAUGGUGAUGCGGAGCGCGAGGAGCGGAGUCAGCUGCAAAGUGAGAAGCAAUACGAAGAGAUGCAGCGAGUGUUGCAUGCGAGCGGCUUCACCACCUCGCACCUUGAUGCUCAGGUGCGUGCGGCGGUUCAGAAGCUGGUAGCCCACUGGGGCAACGAGCGGGCCUACUACGAGUCGGUUAUUGAGAGUCUUGAACAGAACGCUGCAAAACAUGCUGAGCGGGAGGCGUUGUUGAGUGACUGUGUAAAGCAGGAGCAGGAGCGCCGUGCAGAGGCAACGGCGCAGAACUCCGCUGCGGAGUCUGAAGAACUGCGACGUCUUCGCGAGGAGCUCGAGCAGUGGAAACGCGGAAGGCGCACUGUCAUGGAGAGUACCUCUGGGGAUUCGCACCGGUUCUCUCAAACCGCGAGCCCGAUCUCCGCAAACGCCACCCAGCAACCGGUCAACGAGGACGUCAGCGACGCCAGUCCGCUGCCGUACGUAGCCAAAGAUAGGCACUUCCUCGUGUCGUUAGAAAGCGCAGGUGCGCACAAUGUCACCGGCGCACCACUUCAAGGAGACGCAGCACUCGGGCUUGUUGUCGGUGACCGCGUACUGGCAGAGAAACUGGAGCGUCUGAGCCGGGACUGCAGUGCACGCGAUGAGGCACUCGAUAACCUUUACCGUGACAACCGAAGCCUACAAGAGGCGGUGCAGCAUGCGGAGUCUCGCACGCGUGCGUGCGAGGCGGAACUGCAGCACUGUCAAGAGAAGAUGGAGGAGCUUGCGGAGCAGCUGUCGUGUGAGCAGCACCGCACAAGGCAACUGGAAGACGAGAAGCGGCUAAGUGCCGUUAGCGAAGAGAAGCUGCGUGAGCAGAUCAUGCAACUGCGGCAGGCCGUGAAAACUGCAGCUGUCGGCCAAACGCCCCUCGUGGCACCGAACGGGCUGAGCACAGGCGUGUCUAUUACACACGCAGCCCCGGUGCACGUGAGGCUGCCUCUCAACGCCUCCAUACUAGAGCACAGCGUCCCAUACGAGAAAGCCGCCACCUGGAGAGACUGCGCACGAGAGGCAGCGCGGUGGUGGAAGGAGUUGAGGUUGAACGCAGUCCCACCUCGAAGCUCUCAGGUGUGCAAUGCCAUGAGCACAGCACACGCCCGAGGAAGUGGGGUGCUGCGACGAGGUCCACGCGCGCCGCUUAUGCUUGGCGGCAUUUUCGCCAUCCUUAUGUUCAUUUAUAUGCUCUUCCUGUUCGUCGAUUCCGCCCGCGCGGCCAGGCGCGCCCGUGAUAUGGCAUAGCGAAUUACACGACCCACAUUUUUUUUUUACUUCCUUCCUGCAUCCUCCUUGUCCACCCGCCUGCGUGCGUGUGUGGGGGCUCGUGUGUUUGCGCGAAUUGAGGUCGGGUUUGUGUUUGCCUCCCUGGAUUGACUCUCAGCCCUCUGCUGCGUGAUCAUUUUUUCUCUUUCGCGGCGUGGUUGUCUUCCCUGAUGGCAGAGGGAAGGGGAAGAACGCACCUCUGUGCGUCGCAUCUCAGAGUUCAGUACCGCCGCUCUUUCUGGAAAAGCCAAGCGGCACCCUUCCCCCCUCCCCGCUAUCCCUUGCCCCUGCCGAGCCACCUGUGAUUAGGAGAGGGCGAAGCCAGGGCCGCUUUACGGCUACCGGUGUCGGCGGCCAGGUCCUGGGCGGCGCUGCGUCGGAGCGGCCCGAGACGAUGCGAGCACGCUCGUGCCACCUAUAUGGUGGGCGAAGCGCCAACGUGCCUCGAGCGCAUCCCGCCCCACGGCCCUCACACGGUCUACUGGUGCGGGACGCCUGCGUGUGACCCCGAGAGAGGUGCGCCAGGUGGCGGCCAGCAUGGUGGGAGCCGCGGGUGUGAGGCAGCCUGCGCAGCGGCGGUGGAUGAUGAGUCGAGGUUGGCGCAGAGGCCGCGCUCAGGCCGUCGAGCCGGUGCGUUGCUGUAACGCGUGUCCACGGGUGCGAUCGGCACAUACGCGAUCGCGUCUGUGACAGACUGGUGGGUAGCGGGGCGUGCGACGCACGCUUUAUGGCCAAGUAAUGGAGCCUCUAUAAGAAACGUUCCGUUCCCAUGGUUUCGCGUCGCGCCAGGGGACCUCAUUCUUUAUCCGUAGCGUCGCUCAGCAUAUAGUUCCGCGCUUUAUUAUUGCUGUUUUUUUUUCGCGGUGUUUCGGAUGUGGAGGUCCGUCCUGCAUGUGGCUGUGUCGGACGUUUGGAACCUUGCGCGCUGUGGUUUUGCAUGCUGGUGCAUCUGCCAGCAGCCGAGCCUGCCUCAGUUGUGUUUGCGUGUGAUCGUCCUUAUCUCUUGCAUGUGCAGGGGAAGCUGCUUCGCCGCUUCCCUCAGCACUCCUGCUCCUCUGCAGAUAUACUUGUCGCUCGGGGGAGGGGCUUCUGUGUUUCCGCUAUCUGCUCGCCAUCCCGAGUCCAGUUACGUAGAGCCGGUGCGUGCCUUCUGUAGGACGUGAUGUGUCUCCUGGCAGUCGCAGCUCUCUUUGAAUGCAUGUCCUUUUCUUUUUCCCCACAGCAUACCCGAGUGUCUGCCAUCAUGCGCCGAUACUGUUCCGAAACUUCCAGGUGAGCGCGGUGCUGGCGUGCCUCAGCGCACGUCUUUUCCUGUGCAUGUUUUACCCUCCCUCACCCCCGCACCCCGUCAUGGCAUGCUUUUCGUGUUUGUCGUCCUCGUUCGCCCUCUCUUCGCAUGUUUCUUUUUCGUUUGGAUUUUACGUACCGAAUCGGCCGGCUGGUUCCGCAAAAAAAAAG
This 3220-nucleotide unclassified non-coding RNA is filed under the name Leishmania donovani. Its description in RNAcentral is "gene:LdHU3.32.1450(CDS-product:hypothetical_prote in_conserved)". Lineage: Eukaryota; Euglenozoa; Kinetoplastea; Trypanosomatida; Trypanosomatidae. The record is from RNAcentral.